CUCUGUGGCAAUGCCGAGAGGGUCACACCCGUUCCCAUCCCGAACACGGAAGUUAAG
This 57-nucleotide ribosomal RNA is filed under the name Geomonas propionica. Lineage: Bacteria; Pseudomonadati; Thermodesulfobacteriota; Desulfuromonadia; Geobacterales; Geobacteraceae. The record is from RNAcentral.